GCCACGUGGCCAGACCUGAGAACACCGAAGGAAGGUGAUUCAAGCAAGGCCUUGUAUAUGGAUAGAGCAAGGAUCUUCCAGAGUCUUUUAAACCUUGUGAAAGAUUUUGAUCAUUAUCUCAAUGAGAGGUCAAUGAAGGACACUAAACCAGGAGUUUCCCUGCACAAGCUCUCUGCUCUUGUCUGCUGCCAUACAAGAUGUGCCUUUCACCUUCUGCCCUGAUUGUGAGGCCUCCCAAGCCAUGUGGAACUGUAAGUCCAAUAAACCUCUUUCUUUUGUAAAUUGCCCAGUCUUGGGUAUGCUUUUAUAAGCAGCGUGAAAACAGACUAAUACAGUAAAUUGGUAAUAGUAGAGGAGGCAUUGCUGAAAAGAUACCUGAAAAUGUGGAAGUGACAUUGGAACUGGGUAGCAGGCAGAGGUUGGGACAGUUUGGAAGGCUCAGAAGAAGACAGGAAAUUAUGGGGAAGUUUGGAACUGCCUAGAGAGUUACGAGUUAUGGAAUGGCUUUGCCCAAGAUGCUGACAGUGAUAUGGACAAUAAACUCCAAGCUGAGGUUGUCUCAGAUGGAAAUGUGAGGCUUGCUGGUAACUGGAGCAAAGGUGACUCUUGUUAUAUUGUAUCAAAGAGAUUGGUGGCAUUUUGCCCCUGCCCUAGAGAGUUGUAAUAUUUUUAACUUGAGAGAGAUGAUUUAGGGUAUCAUGCAGAAGAAAUUUCUAAGCAGCAAAACAUUCAAGAUGUGACUUGGGUGCUAUUAAAGGCAUUCAGUUUUAUAAGGGAAGCAGAGCAUAAAAGUUUAUAAAAUUUGCAGCCUGACAAUGUGAUACAAAAGAAAAUCCCGUUUUCUAAGGAGAAAUUCAAGCCAACUGCAGAAAUUUGCAUAACUAACGAGAAGCUAAAUGUUAAUCCCCAAGACAGCGGUAAAGGUCUCCAGGGCAUGUCAGAGGUAUUCAUGACAGCCCCUGUCAUUACAGGCCCAAAGGCCUAAAAUAAAAAUGUGGUUUUGUGGGCCAGGCCAAGGGUCUGUGUGCUAUGUGCAGUCUAGGGACUUGGUGUUAUAUGUUUCAGCCACUCCAGCUGUGGCUGAAAGGGGCCAAGGUAGAGCUCAGGCCAUGGCUUCAGAGGGUGCAAGCCUCAAGCCUUGCCAGCUUCCACGUGGUGUUGAGCCUGCAAGUGCAUGGAAGUCAAGCAUUGAGGUUUGGGAGCCUCUGCAUAGAUUUCAGAGGAUGAAUGGAAAUGCCUGGAUGUCCAGGCAGAAGUUUGCUGCAGGGGGGUGCUCUCAUGAAGAACUUCUGCUAGGGCAGUGCAGAAGGGAAAUGUGGGGUCGGAGCCCCACACAGAGUCCCUACUGGGGCUCUGCCUAGUGGAGUUGUGAGGAGAGGGCCCCAAACUACAGAAUGUUAGAUCCACUGACAGCUUGCACUGUUUACCUGGAAAAGCUGCAGACCCUCAAUGCCAGCCCAUGAAAGCAGCUGAGAGGGAGGUAGCACCCUGCAGAGGCACAGGGGCAGAGCUGCCCAAGACCAUAGGAAACCACCUCUUGCAUCAGCAUGACAUGGAUGUGAGAUGUGGAGUCAAAGUAGAUCAUUUUGAAGCUUUAAGAUUUGACUGCCCCUCUGAAUUUUGGACCUACAUGGAAUCUGUAGCCCUUUUGUUUUGGCCAAUUUCUUCAAUUUGGAACAGCUGUAUUUACCCAAUGCCUAUAACCCCAUUGUAUCUAGCAAGUAACUAACUUGCUUUUGAUUUUACAGGCUCAUAGGUGGAAGGGAUUUGCCUUGUCUCAGAAGAGACGUUGGACUGGGGACUUUUGCAAUAAUGCUGAAAUGAGUUAAGAUUUUGGAGGACCAUUGGAAAGGCAUGAUUGGUUUUGAAAUGUCAGAACAUGAGAUUUGGGAGGGGCCAGAGGUGAAAUGAUAUGGUUUGGCUUUGUCCCUACCCAAAUGUCAUCUUGAAUUAUAACUCCCACAAUUCCCAUGUGUCAUGGGAAGAACCCGGUGGGAGGUAAUUUAAUUAUGGGGGUGGGUCUUUCUUGCACAGUUUUUGUGAUAGUGAAUGAGUCUCACGAGAUCUGAUUUUUUUUAAAAACAGGAGUUUCCCUGCACAAGCUCUCUUCUCUUGUCUGCUACCAUAUGAAACAUGCCUUUCACCUUCCGCUACAAUUGUGAGGCCUCCCCAGCCAUGUGGAGCUGUAAGUUCAAUAAACCUCCUUCUUUUGUAAA
Homo sapiens (human) is the source of this 2216-nucleotide long non-coding RNA. RefSeq lists it as uncharacterized. NCBI's taxonomy places the organism in Eukaryota, Metazoa, Chordata, Mammalia, Primates, Hominidae. The transcript is spliced from 2 exons. The record is from RefSeq and is a predicted model, not a curated record.